This 819-nucleotide ribosomal RNA is filed under the name uncultured Acinetobacter sp. Its description in RNAcentral is "bacterial SSU rRNA". It matches the Rfam family "Bacterial small subunit ribosomal RNA", at positions 1 to 811 of the family's 1533-position model. Lineage: Bacteria; Pseudomonadati; Pseudomonadota; Gammaproteobacteria; Moraxellales; Moraxellaceae. The record is from RNAcentral.
CGGGAAUCGAUUAGAGUUUGAUCCUGGCUCAGAUUGAACGCUGGCGGCAGGCUUAACACAUGCAAGUCGAGCGGGGGAGGUUACUUCGGUAACUGACCUAGCGGCGGACGGGUGAGUAACGCUUAGGAAUCUGCCUAUUAGUGGGGGACAACGUUCCGAAAGGAACGCUAAUACCGCAUACGCCCUACGGGGGAAAGCAGGGGAUCUUCGGACCUUGCGCUAAUAGAUGAGCCUAAGUCGGAUUAGCUAGUUGGUGGGGUAAAGGCCUACCAAGGCGACGAUCUGUAGCGGGUCUGAGAGGAUGAUCCGCCACACUGGGACUGAGACACGGCCCAGACUCCUACGUGAGGCAGCAGUGGGGAAUAUUGGACAAUGGGCGGAAGCCUGAUCCAGCCAUGCCGCGUGUGAAGAAGGCCUUUUGGUUGUAAAGCACUUUAAGCGAGGAGGAGGCUCCUUUAGUUAAUACCUAAAGAGAGUGGACGUUACUCGCAGAAUAAGCACCGGCUAACUCUGUGCCAGCAGCCGCGGUAAUACAGAGGGUGCGAGCGUUAAUCGGAUUUACUGGGCGUAAAGCGUGCCUAGGCGGCUUUUUAAGUCGGAUGUGAAAUCCCUGAGCUUAACUUAGGAAUUGCAUUCGAUACUGGAAAGCUAGAGUAUGGGAGAGGAUGGUAGAAUUCCAGGUGUAGCGGUGAAAUGCGUAGAGAUCUAGAGGAAUACCGAUGGCGAAGGCAGCCAUCUGGCCUAAUACUGACGCUGAGGUACGAAAGUAUGGGGAGCAAACAGGAUUAGAUACCCUGGUAGUCCAUGCCGUAAACGAUG